RNAcentral lists this ribosomal RNA (741 nucleotides) under Amplirhagada kessneri. Its description in RNAcentral is "partial 16S ribosomal RNA". The stretch from base 288 to 741 matches the Rfam family "Archaeal large subunit ribosomal RNA", at positions 1423 to 2627 of the family's 2987-position model. The record is from RNAcentral. Lineage: Eukaryota; Metazoa; Mollusca; Gastropoda; Stylommatophora; Camaenidae.
CACGAAACCGGACGAGCUACUGCAAAACAUAUAGUGGUAUUAAAUAUGUAGCAUAAUAAUGGAAGAUCUUGCUGUAGGGGUGAUAGGCUAUCAAGUCCGGGGAUAUCUUGUUAACCUUGAAAUGUAUUGAGUACGUCGUCGAUUUAUUAGUGAUAAGGCUGAUAAAAAUUAUUUAUUUGGAUUCUUCAGGUUAACCUAGUUUAAUCACUCGUUAAUCAAUAAAUUUAAUAUUACUUUCCCCUAUUAAUAGAAUAUAAAGGUUAGUAUAUAAUCAACGUAAAUAUUUAUACUGUAGGUAUGAGUAAUUUAAGUGUCAUUGAUGAACUUGGCAACAUUCCUUUCACCUGUUUAUCAAAAACAUCGCCAGUAGGAGGUAUUAUUGGUAAGUUCUGCUCCAUGUACUAUAAAUAGCCGCAGUACCCUGACUGUGCAAAGGUAGCAUAAUCAUUUGGCUUAUAAUUGAAGUCUAGUAUGAAUGAAUACAUGGGGGGAAACUCUAUUUGUGAUAUCCACUGAAAUUCCUUAAUGGGUGAAAAUUCCCAUAUCUAAAUAAAAGACGAGAAGACCCUUGAAAUUUUUACUAUUUGUACACGUGAGUUUUUGUUGGGGCAACAUUGUAGCAAAUUAACCUACAAUAAUGACAUGACAUAUAAUAGCAUGAUUAAAUUACUCUAGGGAUAACAGCGUAAUUUUUACAGAGUUUGCGACCUCGAUGUUGGACUAGGAAGCUUAUGCUUAAAA